RNAcentral lists this long non-coding RNA (786 nucleotides) under Oryzias javanicus (javanese ricefish). RNAcentral describes it as "lncRNA (ENSOJAG00000014035.1)". The record is from RNAcentral. Lineage: Eukaryota; Metazoa; Chordata; Actinopteri; Beloniformes; Adrianichthyidae.
UAUUCAUUUAUUUCUCUAGAAGUUCUGUGCUUUCAUUAUGACAGUUUUAUGGGUUAGUUUCAGAAGUCUAGCAGGAAGCAAAAAGUACAUACCUGCAUGUAGAAUUUUUUCCCUUUUGUGUGUAAUGGAAACAUAUUGCAUUACAUCAUCAGUCUUUGUGUUUGCAUGUUAGGGUGAACCAGGAGUGUGCAGCUGCACAAGUCCCGUGACAUCAGUUGUGGGAGGACCUGGUGCUCCAGGAACUGCAAUAAACACAUGGCAGCCCGGGCCUCAGGGCCCCCCUGGACCUCCUGGUCCCCCCGGCCCCCCAGGGCCGCAGGGAGUGAAUGGAAUACAAGGACCUCAGGAUCCCAGCGGACUGCAACAACUUCCUCAAGACUCCACAGAUGACCCCACUGAUGAGAGCUGUGUUGACGGCUGCUCCCAAGGGUUGCCUGGGGUGCCAGGUAUGGCUGGUGCCAAAGGUGAUAAAGGAGACCAAGGCAAGCCUGGUGCAACCCUCUUGGACAGCUGUGACAGGUGUUUGGAGAGGCUGCAGAGUGAGCAGAACACUCAAGCUGCGGGGGAUCGAUCCUGCAAUGGACCUCCAGGAGUUCCUGGAAUUCCAGGCUCACCAGGAAUCAAAGGAGAUCAGGUGAGGAAAAGUCUGAGCGUUUUCACAUGAAAAUAGAGUCAAUUUGGCAUUUUACAUGGAAAUGAGGGUGAAUGUUUAUUUAUUUUUUUCAUAUUUUAUGCUCAGGGUUCACCAGGAGAAAGGGGACAAGCUGGAAUUCCAGGGAUCAUGGU